AUUGAACGCUGGCGGCAUGCUUUACACAUGCAAGUCGAACGGCAGCGCGGGCUUCGGCCUGGCGGCGAGUGGCGAACGGGUGAGUAAUGCAUCGGAACGUGCCCAGUAGUGGGGGAUAGCCCGGCGAAAGCCGGAUUAAUACCCCAUACGACCUGAGGGUGAAAGCGGGGGACCGAAAGGCCUCGCGCCAUUGGAGCGGCCGAUGUCGGAUUAGCUAGUUGGUGGGGUAAAGGCUUACCAAGGCGACGAUCCGUAGCUGGUCUGAGAGGACGACCAGCCACACUGGGACUGAGACACGGCCCAGACUCCUACGGGAGGCAGCAGUGGGGAAUUUUGGACAAUGGGGGCAACCCUGAUCCAGCCAUGCCGCGUGCGGGAAGAAGGCCUUCGGGUUGUAAACCGCUUUUGUUCGGGAAGAAAUCCUCUGGGCUAAUACCCCGGGGGGAUGACGGUACCGGAAGAAUAAGCACCGGCUAACUACGUG
This 484-nucleotide ribosomal RNA is filed under the name uncultured bacterium. RNAcentral describes it as "partial 16S ribosomal RNA". It matches the Rfam family "Bacterial small subunit ribosomal RNA", at positions 28 to 507 of the family's 1533-position model. The record is from RNAcentral.